RNAcentral lists this ribosomal RNA (253 nucleotides) under uncultured bacterium. RNAcentral's name for it is "partial 16S ribosomal RNA". It matches the Rfam family "Bacterial small subunit ribosomal RNA", at positions 524 to 776 of the family's 1533-position model. The record is from RNAcentral.
UACGGAGGGGGCUAGCGUUGUUCGGAAUUACUGGGCGUAAAGCGCUCGUAGGCGGCUUUGCAAGUCAGUGGUGAAAGCCCGGAGCUCAACUCCGGAAAUGCCAUUGAAACUGUAAGACUUGAGGAUGAGAGAGGUGAGUGGAAUUCCCAGUGUAGAGGUGAAAUUCGUAGAUAUUGGGAAGAACACCGGUGGCGAAGGCGGCUCACUGGCUCAUAUCUGACGCUCAGGCGCGACAGCGUGGGGAUCAAACAGG